RNAcentral lists this unclassified non-coding RNA (313 nucleotides) under Hevea brasiliensis (rubber tree). Lineage: Eukaryota; Viridiplantae; Streptophyta; Magnoliopsida; Malpighiales; Euphorbiaceae. The record is from RNAcentral.
GGGAGGAUGUGACAAGCAAGGGUUUCCCAUGAAGCAGGGAGUUUUAACUCCAGGCCGUGUUCGCCUUUUGCUGUACCGAGGUACUCCUUGUUUCCGGGGAUAUGGUAGGAGAAAUGGUGAACGCAGAAGGAAAUCUGUCCGUGGAUGCAUUGUUAGCCCUGAUCUUUCUGUUCUGAAUCUUGUUAUCGUGAAAAAGGGUGAGAACGAUCUGCCUGGACUGACUGACACUGAGAAGCCAAGGAUGAGAGGACCCAAGAGAGCUUCAAAGAUCAGAAAGCUCUUUAACCUCUCCAAGGAAGAUGAUGUCAGGAAG